Molecule: long non-coding RNA, 208 nt
Filed under: Linum usitatissimum (flax)
Lineage: Eukaryota; Viridiplantae; Streptophyta; Magnoliopsida; Malpighiales; Linaceae
Description: long non-coding RNA (LUSI_LNC000594)
Source: RNAcentral
UGAUAUUAAAGGGGGGUAAUUUGGUUGGGAGAAGAAAAGAGAUGAUAGACAGACUUGGGAGAGGGAGGAAUUGUGGUCCUUUUUAAUGGGUAGAGAACGAGUCAAGACUAGAGUGGGGAAGGAGAUGGUGAGAGUGGGAGAAAGGGAAAACGGAAAGGGAGGAAAUAAAGGGAGUUAUUAAUGCGGGGUGUUGCGAGGUAUUAGUGGG